GGAAAUGUGGCUUACUGGUAGAGCGCUUGCCUCACACAGCAUGAGGCCCUGGGUUCGAUUCCUCAUCACCA
This 71-nucleotide transfer RNA is filed under the name Dipodomys ordii (Ord's kangaroo rat). It matches the Rfam family "tRNA". From Rfam's summary of the family: Transfer RNA (tRNA) molecules are approximately 80 nucleotides in length. Their secondary structure includes four short double-helical elements and three loops (D, anti-codon, and T loops). Lineage: Eukaryota; Metazoa; Chordata; Mammalia; Rodentia; Heteromyidae. The record is from Rfam by way of RNAcentral.